RNAcentral lists this long non-coding RNA (8799 nucleotides) under Populus trichocarpa (black cottonwood). RNAcentral's name for it is "long non-coding RNA (PTRI_LNC001373)". The record is from RNAcentral. Lineage: Eukaryota; Viridiplantae; Streptophyta; Magnoliopsida; Malpighiales; Salicaceae.
CAGGUGAGUUUAUGUAUUUUAUUAAUUUGUGUUACAUUCUAUGAUGUGGCAAACCUUCAAUACACCACCCGCAAUAUACUGCUCAGUCACUGAAACAUUGCAUGAUAUUUCAGAUCAUUUUGUCAGAAGACUUCCUCUCGCACACAUGUUCUGGGGAACAUCUAUGAUAAUUUAUUUAGAAGAUCAAAAUUUGGCACUAAAAAAAACCAAGAUGCUUUGAUUAUGAGAUUGCCUGAUUUCUCCUUGGCUCUUCAUUGUUUUCAAAUUGGAAUAUGAAGAUUCAAGAAUCCAAACUCAGCUCUUGAAUUCUGUGCUGAAUGAAACUAGAGAACAAGGGAAUUGUGCAGGGUAUUUAUGUGCACAUAGACACAUGCAUUGUGCUAGUUCUUCAAUCUAUGUGAUAGUUACUAGGGGGAGGAAAUGGUGUACCAUUUGCUUACACUAUAUUGAAUUUUCUGACCAUGAUGAACUACAUGAUGCAGAGUGGAGAUGUGUACAUUUCCAUAAUGUCCCCGAGAACCUUUAUUGUGAACGUGUCAAGCUAAACAUUGAUCUGGCUACUAAUGAGCUGAUUCUGAGUGAUGCACCUAAUGAAGCUAUUCUGGUAAAGAUUAAUAAUAAGAUUCCGGGGCUUGGCUUGCAGUUGGAUGCUUCCGAACUCAAUUUACUGUAUAAGGACAAGUAAGCACUUUCAUGUUACAAGACAUGUUCUAUUUAAAUUCACAUUUCCUAAAGUGAAGCCAAUUCAGCACCCACCUUGUUCUAUAAUGCGGAGGUGCCUGAUUCAUAUGAGCAUCUUCUUCUUGAUUUCAUUGAUGGAGACAACCAUCUCUUCAUGAGGAGCGAUGAGCUUGCUGCUGCAUGGAAUAUUCUAACAACAACUCCACAGGAGAUAGACAAGAAACGUACGACACCAGAACUCUGUGAACUGGGAGGUAGAGGUCCAAUUGGACCAUAUUAUCUUUAUGCAAAAUAUCAGGUUCGGUGGGUUGGUAGACGACCGAAGCUUGUUGAAGGCUUCGAAUCUGAUGUUUGAGAACAACUACAUGCAUGAUAGGCAGUAUGAAAUAGUCAUUCCGUCUCCAGGACCACGUGAAAUAAAUAACUGUAUAUAUGUUUAGCGUGUAAAAUUACUCUGAUUUACUGAAAUGUUCAACUAACAUGUUCCCUGUUUGAUUUUCUGUUACCACAGUCCAGCUGCCUUAACUAGCAAAAUAAUGGCCUGCUGAGGGUGAUUGAUCAAGCUUCUUAUCGGAGCUUCAAAUCACCAUACAAUCACGGAGAAAAGCUUUGGAGACCCCCAUCAAUUUCUUUUUCCUUACAAUUUCCAAAGUAAGAUUCAGUUCUAUGUUCUUGACAAACAAUGAACUUCAAUCACACGCUUCUGUAUUAUACAAUAUCAUGACAUGCUCAACUGUCAGAACUUGAGUUGUGUUUUAUACAUUAACCUUUGAUACCAUGCUGUUGUGCAUCAGUAGCACAAUCUACUUUCCUGUCAAUAAAGUUGAAUGCCAGUGAUCAUGGAGCUCUGGAUUUGCCAGCCUAGCUUGGCCCAUAAUAAAGAUAUUUCUGUGAACACAGCUUAUCUAUUGAUGGAACUUGAUGUUUAAAAUUUCAGCAAGAAUAAUGUGAAUUCAGGGCCCACCUGAUAUCGAAGGUAUCUUAUUUGUGCAUUAAGUUUGGUUGACUCCACAGAAAACCUAGUUCACUGACUCUAGUUUAAACUUGGCUAAAUAUUUAUUACAGCUCUGGCUAGUUAGGUAGGUAUUACUACAUGAAUCCAAAGUUCACCAUCCAUUGCCCAGGUGAAUACAAAGCUCAGUCAUAGUGAUCCAACUCCCCUAUUUUGAAUCUAUUCAUGGCAGAUAAUCUCCAUCCACUAUAAUGUCUUCAUCUUACAAAAGCAGUUGGAAGCUGCUUAUAAGGGAAGUUGCUUUUACCCCACAAUUCUGUGGUUGUUAAGUAGCUUGUACAGCAGGCCGAACAGACUUUCAGCUUUGCUUCGUUGAAACAUGAAAGAAGCUCGAGCCCAACUUGUCAUUUUGCCGCAAAUUACAUGUCAUUGUGAAGCUCCACUUGGAGGAUGACAGCUAUAAAUUGUACCUUAAACUAGUAUGAGAUCAUCCAUAUGACAUCACGAUGACAAUAUAUAAUUGAUUAAUUGCUACAGUGAUAGAUUCUUGCUAUGAACAUAGAACAAGUAAUGAAGGAAAACAGACGGCAGAGAAAUAAGUUUUGUAAGGUGUCAAUUAAAUAAAGGCCAUAAAAGUAUACCAAAAGGACCCACCAAAGUAUAUAUUCUCACAAAAAUGUCAGGCUGGCCCUCUAGGAAGACUCCACCAAAAUGACAAUAUGUCAUGGUGCUUGCAUCACCUUUAUUCGGUAUGCUACGCAGCAUCAUGGGCAGCAGCCAGUGACCUUAUUUGCCAUUAUUCUUUUCCAUCCAUAGUAUCCACUCCAUCUACAGCCAAUCUUUCCUGAAGAGAAGCGAGGACUCACUAUGGUUUUUAUCUGUUUUUGCAAGAAAUCAAAUCAAAAUUUUAUUACGCUUAUUGGUGGGGUAAUUUUUAAAUCAGCUUUUGUACAUUGAAACUAAAGUCUGCACCAAUCAAGUCUUAAACAAUUAUUUAUAUAUGGAGGGAUGCUUUCACAAUAUUCAAAUCAAAAAUGAAAAGCCAAGCCCAUUUCUGUAAAAGACUUCUUGUGAUACCUGCACUACGUCAUGGUGACUCUCUACAAAGAGUCAACUAACACGGUUUCUAGAGUGGUCAUAGUGCAAGUCUAGUAUGUGGUUUGGUUUAACACAUCAAACUACAAUAACCCAUACUAGACAGUAAGAGAUACUCUAUGGUCUACUGCUUAUGCUUCUCUCUUUGAUAUUUGUUUUUGUUGGAGGAAAUAGCUAGCUAGCUUGGCAUGGAGAGGGAAGCAAAGAAGAGGAAGACGGAGUAUAUUGAAGAAGAAGAAAAGGGAAAGGAAGAUGAUGAUGAUGAAGAAGAAGAAGAGAAGAUGGAGAAGUUCUUUGCUUUGCUGAGAAGUACAAAACAAAUGCAUGAUCAAAUAAGAAGAAACUCAAAUAGAAUAUUUAAAGAGAAAGAGGAGAUCAGGAAAGUUGGAGAAGAGAAGGUUAGCGUGGCUUGGAAUCCAUCAUUUCAGCCAGAAGAUUUCUUGGAGGAUGGCAAGGAUAGUCAGGCAGCAGCCGGUCCUUCCAAGAGAAAGGAAGAAGAGAAAAAGGACGAGGGAGAAGAAGGCACUGGCUUGGACCUAAAGCUUUCUUUGUAGAGGGUAACUGCCUCCCCCACAACUCCCUUCUCUCUUCUUGCAUGUUGAGAAGCUUUUACAAUGAAAGGUCGACCACUACAAUAAGUAACAGCAAUACUGGCCAGCAUUUCCAUGAUGUGCUGAGUUUAUCGAAAACAUAUUAUGUAUCCUGACGUCUCUCUGGCUUGUUUGGGUCUAUAUGAGGUAAUUAAGAUUUUUUUUUUAAGUUGAUGUUAUUACACAAGUGAUGGGAUAACCUAGCUCAGCGGACACACCAAGUCAUGUAAACACUUGUUCGACGAGAACUCAUGCUGUAUUUUUUAAAUAGGUUUGAGACAGUUUAGGAGAAUAUACCUUCUUUCUCCAACAAGAACAAGAACAACAAAUCCUCGUUUCCAGAACACGGUCAACUUUUAAUCGAACUAGGUAAUUUUACAAGAACAGCAAAGCCUAGUUUCAGACAUAGUUGAGUUUUAGAUUCUUUUGACUAGGUAAUCGAACUUUAUUCUCUAUGAAUUUGGUCCUAAAAAAAUAUGUUGUCGCUAUCCUAUCCUAUCUUUUCUUUUUGUUUUUGGAUUGCAUGCUAUAACGGGUCCGAAGUGUCGGAGAUUAUUUUGGAGUUAAAAUGACAUGGUAAUUUUACAAAAAGAUUUUUUAGCUAUGCUGAAAAAAUUAAAAGAACAACGCCCUAAAAUUAACAUUGGCAAUAAGUGACAACCUGCUUUCCAUGUUCAUUGUGAGCGUAAAACUACACUUUCAUCUCUAAAUUUUUAAUUUAUUUAUAUUUGAUCCUUUUUUGUUUAGGAUUUCUUCUUUAUUUUUUUUAAUAUUUUAGUUCCUUGAUCUUAAGAAAUGAGAGAUAAAGUCAUAAAAAAUUUAAAAAAGCUCUGGCUAAAUUCCAACCACCAAUAACUUUAAUUUUGAUGUCUAUAGAUUAUGUUUUAAAAGAAAAAUUCAAUUGAGAUGAUUUCUAUAGAUUACUGGAAAAUAUUGAAAGAGAAUAAAAAAAUAUAUAUCAUUGAGAAGAAUAUACCAGAACAUCUAGGAGAUUUGAAAAAUUUAACAGUAUAUUUUCGAUUGAUGAAGGCUUUAUUGGCAAAGAAAAAUUCAAUUUAAGGAGAAAAAAAUCAAAAUUGAAUGUUUAAGGACUCAAUUGGAAUUUUUCAAGGUUCAAUUGAAUUUAUUGAGAGCUUAAUUGUAAGAAAAUUGAUUUUUGAAGUCAAUCUAGGCUUUAAUUAACAGAUAUUAAAGUUUAGGGGUUGGAUUGUAAUUUUUAAGAGUUAAUUUGAUCAAAUUAGGGCCUUAAUUGCAUAAAUAUUAAAGUUUAAUAGACAAUUAGGGACUUGAUUGAAGAAAUUUAAAUUCAAGGACCAAACUAAAAAGACACAUAAUGUAGGGGCUAAAUUGGACUAAAUCAGGGGCCAAAUAGAAAAAAUUAAAAGUUUGUUGGUUAGUUGAAGGUCAAAAUACAUAAAUUCAGAAGAUGGUUGGAAUACACAAAUUCAGAACUAAGGACUUAAAUGAAAAUAACGGUAAACUUUGAGGCUGAUAAUUGAGUUUAACAAGGGUGAAAUUGCAUGAAAUUAAAAGUCUUGAGGCAAUUACAAGUAAAAGCAAUUGGAAGAACAAAGACUUGAUUGAAUUUUGUCAAAUCCCAAAUAAAUAAUCCUAAAUAACGUGUCAUUCAAAUUUAAUGAAGUGAAGGUGAAUGACACGUCAUUCGUCAGUUUGCACCUUUAUUUUGAUAGUUUUGACUGAUUGAGUUAACAACUUCAAACGUAUUAAUAUGGAGUUUCAGGCAUUCAAAUUGAGUAAGGUUGGAUCCAAAUGAAAGAUAUUCUUCCCCUCUACGAGGAUUAGGUGGUUUCAGGCGACGAUGACAUCAGAAUUGCUCUAACGAGGCCUCGAAAGUAGGCAACUCAAUCAGCCCCAACAAUGUAACUAUCAUGCAAAAAACAAUUUGAUUUUUGUGUGUUUACAUGUUUACACACAAAAGCUCCUCAAUGGGUUCUUAUCAAGAGUUCACAACACUCAUCUCAAGAUCAAGAGGUCAUAAAUUGAUUCAAGACCUCUCAAAACCCUAAUAAAACCCUAUAAAUACCCAUUCAAGAUCAAGAAAAGGGACUAAAGAAAAGGAAAAGAAAAGAAGAGAUAAGAAAAAGAAGAGAAAUAUAAGGGUAGAGGUCCAAAAGUCUAAACAAAAGUUUAGACUAGUUGUAAGAGGCAAAAGUUUCCUUAAUCUUUAUAAGUUUGUAAGAGGCAAAAGUUUCUAAAAGAAAGCUAAGAGAGAGUAGUUGUUCUAGGUAUAUAUUGCAGGCCCAAAAACAGGUAUUUUAUGGCCUGCCUUUUUUUUUUUAUUAUUAUUUGUUUUGGUUUACAUUUAUAGUUACAAUCAUAGAAAAAAGGUUUAAACUGUUUAACAAAUGGUGUUGCAUUCACCUCUCUGUUGCUGUGAUUUCUAUUUAAUGAAGUUAUUUUAUAUUUUUGAUGUAUUAAAUUUGACUUUUAUGUUCUCUUUUUGAUAUAUAAAUGUUGUUUUAGCUUUGGUUUAACCUAAGCUAUACAUGUUAAAGUAAGAGUGUUUAUCCUUAGUUUGUUAAGCUUGUUUAUGCACAAAAUGAGUUUAAAAAAUCAAUUUUGAAUCCAUGUUGCAUGAACAUGUAGGUUGUUUGAGGUUAUUAGUUUUUGGAUUUGGUAUUUCAUACUUGAUUUUGAUGUUUUUUUCUGUUAGUUUUAGAUUCAAACAUGUUUGUGUAUGAUAUUGUGACUUGUUGGAAUAAAAAAAGCAUGUUUUAGAGGAAAAAAAGGCUCAUUUCUAGGCUUGACAAUGGCUACCUCAUGGUUGGGUUUUUUGUUGGGUUCUAGGCAAUGUUUUUCGUAUUAUUAAGAAGAACAUUGUCUUAAACCCUUGAUUUGGAUCAAAAUUUUGAUCCAUUUGUUUGUAGAGAAUCCUACCUUACGCAUGGUUAACCAAUAAUCUAGUAUUUAUUUGUAUUAACAACACAUUUAUAAUGAUUUUUAAUUUUAAGAUUUUGAUUUUGAACCAAAACCCAUUUUGACCAAAUCGUGAUGAUUUAAUCAUAAUUGAAGUGAAUGAACCUUUAAUUCUUGAUCCUUGAAUAAUUUACAACUUUUAUAUGCUUUUGAUUUUAUGAAAUCUGGUCUAAAUUUGAGUUCACGUUGUUGGGUUUGUUUCGAGUGUUCUUGGUGUUCUUCGUAUUCUUUAUUUUUUUUUGAUCCAUUUUGUUUAAGAAUUUUUGAAUUUUUAUGUUUUUUUGGGUGUUUAAUCUGUUUUUUUGCUUUAAUUUUAUUUUUGGGUUUUUUCUUCCGGGUCAAACUAGAAUUUUCUAUUCUGUUUAUGGGUGAAUAAAAAAUUUUAGGUCAACCCGGUCGGGUCGGGUAAAUAUUUUUUUUCUUGUAUAUGACUAAAAAUCCUAAAGUUAUUUAAGCAUUUUUUUUCUUAAAAACAUAUCUUAAAAUACCUUGACAUGUUUUUUUUUUAAAUAUUGGUUGGAUUUUAUAAUAAAUUUGUAAAAUUUCAAAGGAUUUUUAUCUACAUUUCAAAAAUACCAAAAAAUAUUAUUUUUUUAUUUUAAUAUGAGAGAUUAUGAACUUACAUGUAAGAUAUAUUUUUAAUAUUAAAUAAAAAAAUAAUUUUUUUUAUUGAUAUUAAAAUGGUUAGGUUUUUAAUUUGAUAAGAUAAGAAUUUUUUUAUUAGACUUUUUCUUAAAUCUUAAAUAUAUCAUCAAUUAAAAAAAACAAUUUUUCCAUAUUAAUAAAUAAUAUAAUUUAUCUCAAAUAAAACGUAUUAGGAGUGACCCGUUCUGUCAAAUUUGUGUUAGAGCGUGUUUGACAGUGUGGUUGCGGGUGCUUUUCAAAUAACUUAUCAUUGGAAAUUUGGAAGAACGUUGUGGAAGGCAAAUUGAGGUCCAGGCUUUACAGCUUCCAAAACAUACAAAUCAUAUUAAAUUUUAAUAUAAAAAAAAAAUUUCAAAUUUUUUGGGAUCGCAGCCGCAGCCGCGUCCCCAAACAAGCUCUUAAUAUGGAUGGUAUUGACUGUACUGAACGGUAGGCUGUAACUCUAUGGGCAGCAUCAUUGGAAAUUUGGAAGAACGUUGUGGAAGGCAAAUUGAGGUCCAGGCUUUACAGCUUGUCAAACCUUUCAUAAUAAAUUUAUUCCAGGCAAAGUAAAAAACUUUUCUUUAAACAUCUAGGAGGAGAAUUUUACCUUGCCAAGCUGCACAGUUGCCUCUAAUAAUUUAUGCCAUUUGCUUAAAGCAGCCUUUUUUUUUUUGUCGGGGCAGCCUUGCAUUCACCUCUAAUAAUUGAUGCCAUUUGCCUAAAGCAACUUUUUUAUUUUUAUUUUUUUGUGUGUUGGAGCAGCCAGGAUGAUGCUCAAUGUUUCUUAGAUACUUGUCUCAUCACAAGAUUAUCUGCUUAAAAAAUCAUGAUUCUCAUUCAUUAGCAUUCCCGAAGAUAAAAUCUUUUGAGGAUCGAAGUACUUAGCCACUCACAGGUACAGUUUCAGAUAUCAUAGAGCUCAACAGAUACAGCAAAGACAGUAAUCAAAGUUGACAGAAAAUUUUACAAGGAAAAAGAUCCUUGACUGAUGCAAUCCUAUGACGUAUAUGAUCAACCACUAGUUAAUAGCAACUUUGAAAGAAAGCAUCCUACUUGAUAACUUCGGUCACCUUCACCGGACGAAAUUAAAAGGCAUCGCAAACUCCAGCAGGUCUAUGUCCCCACUAGAAUGACAUAUUUUCUGUGAUUUUGUACCGGGUUUUAUAAAUAUACAACUAAAGUCACCCUGCAGUGAGAAGGCAGGGGCUGAUCAACCACUAAUAUAUAGUGUGUGUCAUAAAAGUUUGGUGAAACAGCACUUACAAAGCAAAUGGAGGAGGAAAGAAAAAACAAGCUGAGUACUUUUGCUUCAGAGUGGUAUUUUCAAGAUGCAUGGAACUUAAGAUGCAGUAGAGUUAGAGCAGUGUGUGUUAAAUACAAGGAUAGAUCAUCUCUUAAGAAGGAACUUCAUUGAGAACACUUAGUGAUAAGGUUCAGGAAUCCAAACUCUUCACAUUCAGGGUGCACACAGCUGAACUCUUGAGUUCUGUGCUGAAUGAAACUAGAGAACAAGGGAAUUGUGCGGGGUAUUUAUAUGCCCAAAUUAAGACACGCAUUGUGUUAGUUACUAGGGGGAGGAAAUGGUGUACCAUUUGCUUACGCUAUAUUGAAUUUUCUGACCAUGAUGAAACUACAUGAUGCAGAGUGGAGACACGUGUACAUUUCCAUAAAGUCCCCGAGAACCUUUAUUGUGAACGUGUCAAGCUAAACAUUGAUCUGGCUACUAAUGAGCUGAUUCUGAGUGAUGCACCUAAUGAAGCUAUUCUGGUAAAGAUUAAUAAUAAGAUUCCGGGACGUGGCUUGCAGUUGGAUGCUUCCGAACUCAAUUUGCUGUAUAAGGACAAGUAAGCACUUUCAUGUUACAAGACAUGUUCUAUUUAAAUUCACAUUUCCUAAAGUGAAGCCAAUUCAGCACCC